CGUGGGUAACCUGCCCAAGAGAUCGGGAUAACACCUGGAAACNGAUGCUAAUACCGGAUAACAACAGAUGAUGCCUAUCAACUGUUUAAAAGAUGGUUCUGCUAUCACUCUUGGUAUGGACCUGCGGUGCAUUAGCUAGUUGGUAGGGUAACGGCCUACCAAGGCGAUGAUGCAUAGCCGAGUUGAGAGACUGAUCGGCCACAUUGGGACUGAGACACGGCCCAAACUCCGUACGGGAGGCAGCACGGC
RNAcentral lists this ribosomal RNA (249 nucleotides) under uncultured Lactobacillus sp. Its description in RNAcentral is "partial 16S ribosomal RNA". It matches the Rfam family "Bacterial small subunit ribosomal RNA", at positions 116 to 353 of the family's 1533-position model. The record is from RNAcentral. Lineage: Bacteria; Bacillati; Bacillota; Bacilli; Lactobacillales; Lactobacillaceae.